RNAcentral lists this transfer RNA (72 nucleotides) under Salmo salar (Atlantic salmon). It matches the Rfam family "tRNA". From Rfam's summary of the family: Transfer RNA (tRNA) molecules are approximately 80 nucleotides in length. Their secondary structure includes four short double-helical elements and three loops (D, anti-codon, and T loops). The record is from Rfam by way of RNAcentral. Lineage: Eukaryota; Metazoa; Chordata; Actinopteri; Salmoniformes; Salmonidae.
UCCUGUGUGGCUCAGUUGGUAGAGCAUGGUGUUUGCAACGCCAGGGUUGUGGGUUCGAUUCCCACGGGGGAA